AUGUCCCUACGGGGGGCAGCAGUGAGGAAUAUUGGUCAAUGGUCGGGAGACUGAACCAGCCAAGCCGCGUGAGGGAGGAAGGUACAGCGUAUCGUAAACCUCUUUUGUCAGGGAACAAAGACUGGGACGCGUCCCCGGAUGAGUGUACCUGAAGAAAAAGCAUCGGCUAACUCCGUGCCAGCAGCCGCGGUAAUACGGAGGAUGCGAGCGUUAUCCGGAUUUAUUGGGUUUAAAGGGUGCGCAGGCGGUCUGUUAAGUCAGCGGUCAAAGCCCGGGGCGCAACCCCGGGCCGCCGUUGAAACUGG
This 305-nucleotide ribosomal RNA is filed under the name uncultured bacterium. Its description in RNAcentral is "bacterial SSU rRNA". It matches the Rfam family "Bacterial small subunit ribosomal RNA", at positions 333 to 636 of the family's 1533-position model. The record is from RNAcentral.